Molecule: ribosomal RNA, 433 nt
Filed under: uncultured bacterium
Lineage: Bacteria
Description: partial 16S ribosomal RNA
Rfam family: Bacterial small subunit ribosomal RNA
Source: RNAcentral
AACGAACGCUGGCGGCAUGCCUAACACAUGCAAGUCGAACGAGACCUUCGGGUCUAGUGGCGCACGGGUGCGUAACGCGUGGGAACCUGCCCUUAGGUUCGGAAUAACUCCCCGAAAGGGGUGCUAAUACCGGAUAAUGUCUUCGGACCAAAGAUUUAUCGCCUUUGGAUGGGCCCGCGUUGGAUUAGCUAGUUGGUAGGGUAAAAGCCUACCAAGGCGACGAUCCAUAGCUGGUCUGAGAGGAUGAUCAGCCACACUGGGACUGAGACACGGCCCAGACUCCUACGGGCGGCAGCAGUGGGGAAUAUUGGACAAUGGGCGAAAGCCUGAUCCAGCAAUGCCGCGUGAGUGAUGAAGGCCUUAGGGUUGUAAAGCUCUUUUACCCGGGAUGAUAAUGACAGUACCGGGAGAAUAAGCUCCGGCUAACUCCGUG